RNAcentral lists this transfer RNA (70 nucleotides) under Segatella salivae. RNAcentral describes it as "tRNA-Met". It matches the Rfam family "tRNA". From Rfam's summary of the family: Transfer RNA (tRNA) molecules are approximately 80 nucleotides in length. Their secondary structure includes four short double-helical elements and three loops (D, anti-codon, and T loops). Further hydrogen bonds mediate the characteristic L-shaped molecular structure. tRNAs have two regions of fundamental functional importance: the anti-codon, which is responsible for specific mRNA codon recognition, and the 3' end, to which the tRNAs corresponding amino acid is attached (by aminoacyl-tRNA synthetases). tRNAs cope with the degeneracy of the genetic code in two manners: having more than one tRNA (with a specific anti-codon) for a particular amino acid; and 'wobble' base-pairing, i.e. permitting non-standard base-pairing at the 3rd anti-codon position. RNAcentral also lists the same sequence under 1 other name. Lineage: Bacteria; Pseudomonadati; Bacteroidota; Bacteroidia; Bacteroidales; Prevotellaceae. The record is from RNAcentral.
GCGGAGUGGAGAAGCGGUAUCUCGAUGGUCUCAUAAGCCAUAGUCUCUGGUUCGAUUCCAGACUCUCGCA